RNAcentral lists this ribosomal RNA (468 nucleotides) under uncultured bacterium. RNAcentral's name for it is "partial 16S ribosomal RNA". It matches the Rfam family "Bacterial small subunit ribosomal RNA", at positions 28 to 507 of the family's 1533-position model. The record is from RNAcentral.
GACGAACGCUGGCGGCGUGCUUAACACAUGCAAGUCGAACGGAAAGGCCCUGCUUUUGUGGGGUGCUCGAGUGGCGAACGGGUGAGUAACACGUGAGUAACCUGCCCUUGACUUUGGGAUAACUUCAGGAAACUGGGGCUAAUACCGGAUAGGAGCUCCUGCUGCAUGGUGGGGGUUGGAAAGUUUCGGCGGUUGGGGAUGGACUCGCGGCUUAUCAGCUUGUUGGUGGGGUAGUGGCUUACCAAGGCUUUGACGGGUAGCCGGCCUGAGAGGGUGACCGGGCACAUUGGGACUGAGAUACGGCCCAGACUCCUACGGGAGGCAGCAGUGGGGAGUAUUGCACAAUGGGCGGAAGCCUGAUGCAGCAACGCCGCGUGCGGGAUGACGGCCUUCGGGUUAUAAACCGCUUUCGCAUGUGACGAAGCGUGAGUGACGGUAAUGGGUAAAGAAGCACCGGCUAACUACGUG